RNAcentral lists this ribosomal RNA (253 nucleotides) under uncultured bacterium. Its description in RNAcentral is "partial 16S ribosomal RNA". It matches the Rfam family "Bacterial small subunit ribosomal RNA", at positions 524 to 776 of the family's 1533-position model. The record is from RNAcentral.
UACGUAGGGGGCUAGCGUUGUCCGGAUUUAUUGGGCGUAAAGAGCGUGUAGGCGGCCUGGUAGGUCUGCUGUGAAAACUCGAGGCUCAACCUCGAGAUGUCGGCGGAAACCAUCUGGCUAGAGUCCGGAAGAGGAGAGUGGAAUUCCUGGUGUAGCGGUGAAAUGCGCAGAUAUCAGGAAGAACACCUAUGGCGAAGGCAGCUCUCUGGGCCGUAACUGACGCUGAGGAGCGAAAGCAUGGGGAGCGAACAGG